CCACACUUGGCCGCCCCUCCCUCCUUUCCCCUUGGGCUGGACGUCCUCUCCUCCCAUGGCAGCCCCUCUCCACGGCUUCCUCCUCCCUCUAGAUCUCCCCCGCGCAGCAAGGAUCGAGAAGAGGAGGAGCACGUUGAAUUGAAGGGGAAGAGAGGAUCAAGGAGAUGUUCUUCCCCGUCUCUUCUUGCAGAAUUUCUUGGGGAAACCCUAGGUAUGGAUGAGAUCCUUGUUCCUCCCUGUAAUUAUGUGCUUUUGGAGGUUGUGGAUCAUGGGAAUUAAAGAAUAAGAGGUUGGAUUAGAUGUGGGGUUAGGUUUUGAUCUCGAAUUUAGUUUUCUGCAGAAUGGCAGAUUCGAUAGUUUCUGUUCAUGCCAGUUUUCCAUGGUCUUAGUGGCAUCAAAAAAAUAAAAAGUCUAUAUAUGAGUCAUAGAUAGUUUGUAGAUAUUUCCGUGGCCGCGAAGAACACCUCAAUCGGACAUCAGAUCAGAGAGUUAUUGCAGUUUGAUUAUAGCAGUUUUUCAGUCUCUUAAUUCUGUGCAGAAUUUGUUCUCUUAAGAUUUAGGCAAUUUUAUUAACAGAAUUAAACCUUGGGUUUGUAAGAAAAGAUGUAGAUAAUUUCAUAAGAUUUUCAGAUUGUUAAAGAGUGCAUUCAUAUGAAUUAUGAAACUCCGGUUAUGUUUGUUUUACUGUGGCUGUUUCUGUUGGCCUGACAGAAAUGAGCGUGUCUAUUCACUGGUAGGUUUCAUCAGGAAAAUAGCCGAAUUGGCUCUCCCAGCUAUGGAGACUUUUGUAGAGGGAUAAAAGUUCUUACUUCCAGAAGAAUUCCAUGAUUUUUGGUUGAGUAGUUUGUGAGAUAUCGAAUUUUGAAAGUUAACUAUGCUGCUGUCUAAAACAGAUUCAGUCAGUUAUCUUGUCAGAUGUUUUAGAACUUAUAGAUGGCAGAAUUUAAUUAUCCAUCGAAUGCCGAAGUUGUAGAGUAUUUUGUGUAGAUACUCUUAGAGUAUUUGUUUGAUAUCACCACUGUUAUAAUUUUAAAGAUACAAAAUUAACAAACAGUGUUGCUGCUGUAUGGCAUGUUGUUCAGAGUGGGAGGUUUUCCACCAAGUCUUGGUUUCAGGUGUAGGAGCGAUUUGUUGAUUGUUGGCAAAUGUUUGUGAAAUAUUUGUACUAAGUUUUAUACCCGCUACCAGGUGGCUACACUCCAGAUCAUGCAUAGUACAUUUUUCUUCUUCGAUGAAGGCAAGUGAAUGUAGGGGUGGUUGCUUCCAUUCUGACCUGUUAUUUCUAUCGCCUACACUCUAGUAUUCAGAAUUAUUGGAUUCUUUCAUAAUUCGACUCCAUGGUAAUGCUUUACUUGCUUGCAUUAUCCUGAUGCUCAAUCAUAUAUUGAUGAUGAUUAUGAUUCGAGUACGACUCAUGAGAUUAAUUCACACCCCUGAAGGUAAAUGAAGUAUUAUUUGAGGUUUGUAUUGUAUCUGAAGGUAAAUGAAGUAUUAUUUGAGGUUUGUAUUGCAUGUGACAGAAGUUAAGUAUAUUGAUAAAUGCAGCAUGCCACAUACAUUGCAUGAUUCACUUGCAUCUGAAGUUGGGUCGUGACCUAUGGUCCGACCGUACCGGUACAACUUAGCAUCGUAGGUUGCCCGAGGAGGGGUACGAUGCGGCUUCAUACCCUUAGAGGUAUGAAGGCAGAGGACAUAUGCAUUGCAUUCAUAUGCAUUCAUUGAAGUGAUAUUUGCAGAUGAUGUGGUUUUAUACCCUCAGAGGUAUGAAGACAGAGUACCUACACUUUGCGUUCCUAUGCAUACAUUGAAGUGAUAUUUGCAGGUAUUGUUGACGCAGGGAAGUGUUAUACAAACUAUUGUGGUUGUUUAAGGAAAUGAGAUGGUAUUGGUUAUAUUGAGACUACUGAGUUCUAUAUCUACAAGUAUUUCUGAUCUUAAUUGUGAUUCUUUUAAAAUGUUGAUUAAUUCAAUUUGUGGUUUAAAUAUCUUGUCAAAACAAUUCGCUUGCUGAGAUGUUUCAUCUCACUCUUGCAUUACUCAAUGCAGGUGCUUGUUGCUCAUCAAGGGAAGUGGGAAGUAGCAGCACAUCCACCUUCACUCUGAUAAUAACGCUGCUUAGGCGCAGUCAUGAUUUAAUUAGAAACUUCUUGUCAAAGGAUGUUGUUUCUAACUAGUUGUGCGCACUGGUUGAUUUAGUUCAUGCCGUUAUGGUUGUCUUUCCAUUGCUAGCAGAUUAUUAAUGUCUAUUAUGUUUUCUUAUCAUGAUAUCUAUUUAUACUUUGUUGCUUCCCCGUUUGUGCAAUUUUCAAAGGGGAUGCUGUCAAAAAUUUAUAUAUGAAUGUUAG
RNAcentral lists this long non-coding RNA (2345 nucleotides) under Zea mays. Its description in RNAcentral is "long non-coding RNA (ZMAY_LNC002504)". The record is from RNAcentral. Lineage: Eukaryota; Viridiplantae; Streptophyta; Magnoliopsida; Poales; Poaceae.